Molecule: long non-coding RNA, 358 nt
Organism: Rosa chinensis
Lineage: Eukaryota; Viridiplantae; Streptophyta; Magnoliopsida; Rosales; Rosaceae
Exons: 3
Source: RefSeq, a predicted model, not a curated record
UAUCUUGUUUGCUGCUAUUCUUGGAAACAAAACUGCUAUUACCGGGGGUAGUGGGAAAGUUGUGGACAGUGGUCCGAAUGAUCACAUCUUCAUAUACUACUCCGAUCAUGCUGGUCCUGGAGUACUUGGGAUGCCUACCAGUCCCUAUAUUUAUGCAAACAGGCUCAUAGAAGUUCUAAAGAAGAAGCAUGCUGCAGGGACAUAUGAAAGUUUGGUAUUUUAUCUUGAAGCUUGUGAAUCCGGAAGUAUCUUUGAGGGUCUUCUUCCUGAAGGUUUGAAUAUCUUUGCAACUACAGCAUCAAAUGCAGAAGGGAGCAGUUAGGGGACUUACUGCCCGGGAGAGUAUCCUAGUCCUCCC